GUUUCAAUCCCUCAAAGGUAAGAUACAAAC
This is a non-coding RNA of Caldibacillus debilis, 30 nucleotides long. Lineage: Bacteria; Bacillati; Bacillota; Bacilli; Caryophanales; Bacillaceae. The record is from Rfam.